UGCGCAGGUGGGUUGGCAAGUUCGAUGUGAAAGCCCCGGGCUUAACCCGGGAAUGGCAUUGGAUACUGCUGAUCUGGAGGGUCGGGAGGGGGGACUGGAAUUCUUGGUGUAGCAGUGAAAUGCGUAGAUAUCAAGAGGAACACCAGUGGCGAAGGCGAGUCCCUGGACGAUACCUGACACUGAGGCACGAAAGCCAGGAGCAAACA
Molecule: ribosomal RNA, 206 nt
Filed under: uncultured bacterium
Lineage: Bacteria
Description: partial 16S ribosomal RNA
Rfam family: Bacterial small subunit ribosomal RNA
Source: RNAcentral